RNAcentral lists this ribosomal RNA (258 nucleotides) under uncultured bacterium. Its description in RNAcentral is "partial 16S ribosomal RNA". It matches the Rfam family "Bacterial small subunit ribosomal RNA", at positions 524 to 776 of the family's 1533-position model. The record is from RNAcentral.
UACGUAGGGUGCAAGCGUUGUCCGGAAUUAUUGGGCGUAAAGAGCUCGUAGGCGGUUUGUCGCGUCUGCUGUGAAAACCUAAGGCUCAACCUUGGGCUUGCAGUGGGUACGGGCAGACUAGAGUGCGGUAGGGGUGACUGGAAUUCCUGGUGUAGCGGUGGAAUGCGCAGAUAUCAGGAGGAACACCAAUGGCGAAGGCAGAUCUCUGGGCCGUAACUGACGCUGGAGGAGCGGAAAAGCCAUGGGGGAGCGAACAGG